RNAcentral lists this ribosomal RNA (149 nucleotides) under uncultured bacterium. RNAcentral describes it as "partial 16S ribosomal RNA". It matches the Rfam family "Bacterial small subunit ribosomal RNA", at positions 1338 to 1500 of the family's 1533-position model. The record is from RNAcentral.
GUAAUCACAGGUCAGCAUACUGUGGUGAAUACGUUCCCGGGCCUUGUACACACCGCCCGUCACACCAUGAGAGUUGAGAAUACCCGAAGCCCAUGUCAAAGUGGUCGAAGGUAGGCUUGAUGAUUGGGGUGAAGUCGUAACAAGGUAUC